UGCUGAUGCCUCAGGAACGGAGACUGGCUAGUUUGAUGCUGCACCUAUCUUACGUUUCGGUCUUCUGCUCACGGAUCCGGCCUUCGCUCUCGGAAUUUUGGAGUUCAACAGCAUUUCAGAAUCGUCGCGUCGGGAAUUAGCUAUGGCGAUGACCACAACCGCCACACCCUUAGGCCUCUCAUCCUCGCAUGCCUUCUUCUCAAGAGAUUCAAAUGCUCUAGGGGCCUCCAAAGUUUCACAGUCUCGGAUUGUAUGGAGAGCUGUUUCAGGUCCACGGGCUCUGUCAAAUGAUUCCGUGGAGGGUGUCUCCAGGAGGGAGGCCACCGUUUCUGCGAUUCUUGCAAGUUUAUCGUUAGCAACAACAAUGGGCUUUGGUGAAGACGCAGUGGCUGUAUCAUCAAGCAGGAGGGCUUUGCGAACCGAGCAGAUUCCAGAGAGCGAAUACAAGACACUUCCCAACGGUCUCAAAUAUUACGAUGUGAAAGUUGGAGGUGGAAAGGCAGCUCAGAAGGGUUCUCGUGUUGCGGUUCACUAUGUAGCCAAAUGGAAAGGCUUGACCUUCAUGACAAGCCGACAGGGCAUGGGUGUUACUGGAGGCACACCAUAUGGGUUUGAUAUUGGGGCUUCAGCAUAUGGAAUUGUCUUAAAAGGUUUGGACUACGGUGUAGAAGGAAUGAGAGUGGGAGGUCAGCGUUUGCUGAUUGUGCCUCCUGAACUAGCAUAUGGUAAUAAGGGCGUCCAGGAGAUCCCUCCGAAUGCGACACUUCAGUUCGAUGUCGAGCUUUUGAGCAUCAAACAAGAUAAUUUCGGGACUCCCGCUAAAAUUGUAGAAGGUUAGAUUCUUCGGAUAGCACAUGGUUUACCUGAUGUAAAAUUUGUACCAUGCGAGUAAGUGCAAUGCGACAGAGUGAAAAAUGUCAACCUCUGGCCUUCCGAAUGUCAGCGACAGCAGCAUCUCUAAGAAGCGCAACAUCAACUGUUCCUGCUACCAUGUGGUACCCAAGCUGCAGCAACUUCGAGGGUGAAUCAUCACUGGUUGCAAAUCCACCCAUAUACACUCCUAAAGACUUCAAAGUUUUCUCAGCUUCCCUGCAAGAAAAAACCAUACAUAAGCCCCUAAAUAAUCAUUCAUCAAAAUAAAACGCUGACAUCAACCUCGAAUAUGUACUCCCAACACUCAACCUUGAAUAUGUAUUCCAGCACAGUUCAAUUCGAAUGCAUUCUGCAA
Molecule: RNA transcript, 1228 nt
Organism: Physcomitrium patens
Lineage: Eukaryota; Viridiplantae; Streptophyta; Bryopsida; Funariales; Funariaceae
Gene name: peptidyl-prolyl cis-trans isomerase FKBP16-4, chloroplastic
Source: RefSeq, a predicted model, not a curated record